AUCGGUGCUUGCACUGAUCCGAUCGAGUGGCGGACGGGUGAGUAACGCGUGAGGAACCUGCCUUGAAGAGGGGGACAACAGUUGGAAACGACUGCUAAUACCGCAUAAGCGCACAGUACCGCAUGGUACAGAGCGAAAAACUCCGGUGGUAUAGGAUGGACCCGCGUCUGAUUGGCUGGUUGGUGAGGUAACGGCCCACCAAGGCGACGAUCAGUAGCCGGCCUGAGAGGGUGAACGGCCACAUUGGGACUGAGAUACGGCCCAGACUCC
RNAcentral lists this ribosomal RNA (270 nucleotides) under uncultured Eubacteriales bacterium. RNAcentral's name for it is "uncultured Clostridiales bacterium partial 16S ribosomal RNA". It matches the Rfam family "Bacterial small subunit ribosomal RNA", at positions 72 to 339 of the family's 1533-position model. The record is from RNAcentral. Lineage: Bacteria; Bacillati; Bacillota; Clostridia; Eubacteriales.